This is a non-coding RNA of Triticum aestivum (bread wheat), 107 nucleotides long. Lineage: Eukaryota; Viridiplantae; Streptophyta; Magnoliopsida; Poales; Poaceae. The record is from Rfam.
UGUUUGCUGUGACGAAUCACAAGAACGGUAUCUGAGUAAGGGUGGCUCUUGAAAGUCCCCCUUCGUUGAUUACCCAUCCUAAACUGAUCAUAUCUUCUGAGCGAACA